Molecule: unclassified non-coding RNA, 219 nt
Filed under: uncultured Ascomycota
Lineage: Eukaryota; Fungi; Ascomycota
Description: sequence contains ITS2
Rfam family: 5.8S ribosomal RNA (bases 1-52)
Source: RNAcentral
AACGCACAUUGCGCCCACUGGUACUCCGGUGGGCAUGCCUGUCCGAGCGUCGUCUACACCCUUGGCUCUGGCCAGUGUUGGGCUGUCCCGCGCGGACGCCCGCAAGACGUACGCCUGCAGCGGCUGGUCACGGUUGACAGGAGUCUCCCGCAGCAGUUGUAGCGCUUUGCUCAAACUUUUUUUGACCUCGGAUCAGGUAGGGAUACCCGCUGAACUUAA